This 399-nucleotide long non-coding RNA is filed under the name Ananas comosus (pineapple). RNAcentral's name for it is "long non-coding RNA (ACOM_LNC002397)". The record is from RNAcentral. Lineage: Eukaryota; Viridiplantae; Streptophyta; Magnoliopsida; Poales; Bromeliaceae.
GGAGGUGGAUGUGAAUGUGGGUCGCGAAGGUCCGCAGACAUGGUGGAGGAGUUUUGGAGAAAAAAAAAAGAAAAAAAAAAAGAUCGCGGUGCAGUCUCGACGGGGUCAAAGGCAAGAAGGCAGGGGGUGAGCAGGUGCAGGCAAGGGUGCAUGGGGCGGAGGCGAGGAGGGCCGGUGGUGCAUGGAUACGGGUUAGGGUGCGAGGGGAGCAUAGGCGAGACGGGCAGCCCCCGCCUCUCUUUUCGGAGAGAGAGAAAAAAAAAACGAGAGAAAAAGAGAGAGAGAAAAUAAUAAGGGUAUUUUAGUCAAGUUUUUAAAAAUUCGGACUAAAUCUGCAAAAUUGAAAAAAGGCAGUUCAAUUUUACAAAAGUACAAAACUUGUAGAUUUUUUAUACAAAU